RNAcentral lists this ribosomal RNA (554 nucleotides) under uncultured archaeon. RNAcentral's name for it is "bacterial SSU rRNA". It matches the Rfam family "Archaeal small subunit ribosomal RNA", at positions 876 to 1429 of the family's 1478-position model. The record is from RNAcentral.
GCACCACAAGGGGUGAAGCCUGCGGUUCAAUUGGACUCAACGCCGGGAAACUUACCAGGGGAGACAGUAGAAUGACGGUCAGGUUGACGACCUUACCUAACGAGCUGAGAGGAGGUGCAUGGCCGUCGCCAGUUCGUGCUGUGAGGUAUCCUGUUAAGUCAGGCAACGAACGAGAUCCGCGCCUUUAUUUGCCAACAAGAAGUCACGACUUCGUUGGGAACACUAAAGGGACCGCCUUCGAUAAGACGGAGGAAGGAGCGGGCAAAGGCAGGUCAGUAUGCCCCGAAACCCCUGGGCUACACGCGGGCUGCAAUGAUAUGAACAAUGGGCAGUAACUCCGAAAGGAGAGACCAAUCCCGAAAUCAUAUCUCAGUGGGGAUUGUCGGCUGUAACCCGCUGACAUGAACGUGGAAUCCCUAGUAAUCGUGUGUCAUCAUCGCACGGUGAAUACGUCUCUGCUCCUUGCACACACCGCCCGUCGCUCCAUCCGAGUGUGCUAAAAAUGAGGUUUGGUCAAUCUGGUCAUAUCGAGUUUCUAGUAUGCGAGGAGGGAG